Molecule: ribosomal RNA, 1359 nt
Filed under: Penaeus japonicus
Lineage: Eukaryota; Metazoa; Arthropoda; Malacostraca; Decapoda; Penaeidae
Description: 16S ribosomal RNA
Rfam family: Archaeal large subunit ribosomal RNA (bases 650-1359)
Source: RNAcentral
CUUAUUGAUAGUGUAAUGAGGAGUAGAAUUCGAGAAGUAAUAAAAUUAUUUUGGAAUAAUAUACUUUUAGUAAAAUGAAUUGAAAAAAGAUAAAAAAGAAUAAUAGAGUAGAGUACUGUAAAGGAAAGGUGAAAUAAAUUGAAAAAGAAGUUAAUUAAAAGUAAAAAUAAAAGUUUGUACCUUGUGUAUUAGGGAAAAUCAAAAUUAGUUUAUAAUAUGAGAGGUCCCGAAAAAAGAAGAGCUAAUAUAAUCUGAUAGUUUUCGUUUUAAUGAAAUUAUAAAGUUUAUAUUAGUAGUGAAAUGCUAGACGAUUCUUUAUAUCUGGUUAUCAGUGAAUUAAAUUAAAUUUAGUUGUUUUGAGUUGGUGUAAAAAACUAAAAAGCAAUAAAGAGCAGGAGGGAAAAGCUUCUUGUUCUAACAUAAAGAUAUCAUAAUAUUUCUUAUAAAAUAGCAUUGGAUUAGGCUUGAAAACAGCCAUAUUUAUAAAACGUUCUAGUUAAUACGGGCGAUAUAUUAUUAUUUAUAUUAGUAGUAUUUGAUAAAAGUAGCUGGUAUUUUUUGUUAAUAAUAAAUAAAAAGUUAUAAUGAUUUUAUUAGUAGAAAUAGUUGUGAAAAAGAAAAAGAGUAGAGUAAUAAUGAGAUUAUUAAACAGAAUGAAAGAUAUAGCUAAGGAACUCGGCAAAUGUUGCUUUUGCCUGUUUAUCAAAAACAUGUCUAUAUGAUUGUUAUAUAAAGUCUAGCCUGCCCACUGAUUUGUUUUAAAGGGCCGCGGUAUAUUGACCGUGCGAAGGUAGCAUAAUCAUUAGUCUUUUAAUUGGAGGCUUGUAUGAAUGGUUGGACAAAAAGUAAGCUGUCUCGGUUAUAAUAAUUGAACUUAACUUUUAAGUGAAAAGGCUUAAAUGUUUCAGGGGGACGAUAAGACCCUAUAAAGCUUGACAAUAAUUUCGUUAUAUUAUAAAUUGUUAGUAUAACUUGAUUUUAACGGGAGUUUGUUUCGUUGGGGCGACGGGAAUAUAAUAAAUAACUGUUCUUUUAAAUAUAAUUACAAAAAUACUUGGUAAAUAAUUGAUCCUCUAUUAGAGAUUAAAAGAUUAAGUUACUUUAGGGAUAACAGCGUAAUCUUCUUUGAGAGUCCACAUCGACAAGAAGGUUUGCGACCUCGAUGUUGAAUUAAGGUAUCCUUAUAAUGCAGCAGUUAUAAAGGAGGGUCUGUUCGACCUUUAAAUCCUUACAUGAUUUGAGUUCAGACCGGCGUGAGCCAGGUCGGUUUCUAUCUCCUGAUUUAGGUAAAACUAUCUUAGUACGAAAGGAUUGGGUAGUUGGAAUAGUUCUUGAAGGAAUUGAUUAGUUUUAAUCGGU